UUAAAUUGAAGAGUUUGAUCAUGGCUCAGAUUGAACGCUGGCGGCAGGCCUAACACAUGCAAGUCGAACGGUAACAGGAAGAAGCUUGCUUCUUUGCUGACGAGUGGCGGACGGGUGAGUAAUGUCUGGGAAACUGCCU
This 139-nucleotide ribosomal RNA is filed under the name Escherichia coli. RNAcentral's name for it is "partial 16S ribosomal RNA". It matches the Rfam family "Bacterial small subunit ribosomal RNA", at positions 1 to 131 of the family's 1533-position model. The record is from RNAcentral. Lineage: Bacteria; Pseudomonadati; Pseudomonadota; Gammaproteobacteria; Enterobacterales; Enterobacteriaceae.